RNAcentral lists this ribosomal RNA (256 nucleotides) under uncultured bacterium. RNAcentral describes it as "partial 16S ribosomal RNA". It matches the Rfam family "Bacterial small subunit ribosomal RNA", at positions 524 to 776 of the family's 1533-position model. The record is from RNAcentral.
UACGUAGGGUGCAAGCGUUGUCCGGAAUUAUUGGGCGUAAAGAGCUUGUAGGCGGUUUGUCGCGUCUGCUGUGAAAUUUCGGGGCUCAACCCCCGAACUUGCAGUGGGUACGGGCAGACUAGAGUGUGGUAGGGGAGACUGGAAUUCCUGGUGUAGCGGUGAAAUGCGCAGAUAUCAGGAGGAACACCGGUGGCGAAGGCGGGGUCUCUGGGCCGAUACUGACGCUGAGGAGCGAAAGCGUGGGGGAGCGAACAGG